ACCCCGCAGUCAGCGCUAUCGUCUCUUCAUCCUCCAGCAUCGGUGUAGAGGACGCGACCCAGCACCUGCGGGACAUCCUCAAGCUGGACCAGCUGUGAAGCUCAGUGAAUGAGAACCAGAGACCAUCAAUUUCAUGUAACAGAGACCUGAAUGGACUGCUGGUGCCUGCCCCAUAGUGGCUGGAAAAGGUACCUUCUCUGGGUAAGCCAGUGCAUCAGAGCAUUUCUCUGGGAGCCCUACAGGAGAAACAAGUCAUCUGCCUUUCUGGUGAUGACAGUUCUGCUUGCAUAGUGAUAACAGCAAAAGAUGUGGAGGUAGUGGCCAGCAGUGAUUCCAGCAUCACCAGCAAGGCCAGAGGGAGUAACAACGUAAGGA
Pezoporus flaviventris is the source of this 375-nucleotide long non-coding RNA. RefSeq lists it as uncharacterized. The record is from RefSeq and is a predicted model, not a curated record. NCBI's taxonomy places the organism in Eukaryota, Metazoa, Chordata, Aves, Psittaciformes, Psittacidae. The transcript is spliced from 3 exons.